RNAcentral lists this small RNA (78 nucleotides) under Flavobacterium pectinovorum. RNAcentral's name for it is "Flavo-1 RNA". It matches the Rfam family "Flavo-1 RNA". Lineage: Bacteria; Pseudomonadati; Bacteroidota; Flavobacteriia; Flavobacteriales; Flavobacteriaceae. The record is from RNAcentral.
CCCUAGCCCCGAUGGGAGGGAAAAUCCUUUUGUGGUGCGGUUCACCACAAAAGAUUGGAAGGAACAGCGGGAAACAGC